UUCCAGACUCCUACGGGAGGCAGCAGUGAGGAAUAUUGGUCAAUGGGCGCGAGCCUGAAUCAGCCAAGUCGCGUGAGGGAUGACGGUCCUACGGAUUGUAAACCUCUUUUGCCGGGGAGCAAGCGUGCGUUCGUGAACGCGCGUCGAGAGUACCCGGAGAAAAAGCAUCGGCUAACUCCGUGCCAGCAGCCGCGGUAAUACGGAGGAUGCGAGCGUUAUCCGGAUUUAUUGGGUUUAAAGGGUGCGUAGGCGGACGCUUAAGUCAGGGGUAAAAUGGCGGGGCUCAACCUCGUCGAGCCGUUGAAACUGGGUGCCUUGAGUGGGCGAGAAGUACGCGGAAUGCGUGGUGUAGCGGUGAAAUGCAUAGAUAUCACGCAGAACUCCGAUUGCGAAGGCAGCGUACCGGCGCCCAACUGACGCUGAGGCACGAAAGCGUGGGUAUCGAACAGGAUUAGAUACCCGGGUAC
RNAcentral lists this ribosomal RNA (467 nucleotides) under uncultured bacterium. Its description in RNAcentral is "bacterial SSU rRNA". It matches the Rfam family "Bacterial small subunit ribosomal RNA", at positions 329 to 793 of the family's 1533-position model. The record is from RNAcentral.